AGAGUUUGAUCCUGGCUCAGGACGAACGCUGGCGGCGUGCCUAAUACAUGCAAGUAGAACGCUGAAGAGAGGAGCUUGCUCUUCUUGGAUGAGUUGCGAACGGGUGAGUAACGCGUAGGUAACCUGCCUUGUAGCGGGGGAUAACUAUUGGAAACGAUAGCUAAUACCGCAUAACAAUGGAUGACCCAUGUCAUUUAUUUGAAAGGGGCAAAUGCUCCACUACAAGAUGGACCUGCGUUGUAUUAGCUAGUAGGUGAGGUAACGGCUCACCUAGGCGACGAUACAUAGCCGACCUGAGAGGGUGAUCGGCCACACUGGGACUGAGACACGGCCCAGACUCCUACGGGAGGCAGCAGUAGGGAAUCUUCGGCAAUGGGGGCAACCCUGACCGAGCAACGCCGCGUGAGUGAAGAAGGUUUUCGGAUCGUAAAGCUCUGUUGUAAGUCAAGAACGAGUGUGAGAGUGGAAAGUUCACACUGUGACGGUAGCUUACCAGAAAGGGACGGCUAACUACGUGCCAGCAGCCGCGGUAAUACGUAGGUCCCGAGCGUUGUCCGGAUUUAUUGGGCGUAAAGCGAGCGCAGGCGGUUUGAUAAGUCUGAAGUUAAAGGCUGUGGCUCAACCAUAGUUCGCUUUGGAAACUGUCAAACUUGAGUGCAGAAGGGGAGAGUGGAAUUCCAUGUGUAGCGGUGAAAUGCGUAGAUAUAUGGAGGAACACCGGUGGCGAAAGCGGCUCUCUGGUCUGUAACUGACGCUGAGGCUCGAAAGCGUGGGGAGCGAACAGGAUUAGAUACCCUGGUAGUCCACGCCGUAAACGAUGAGUGCUAGGUGUUGGAUCCUUUCCGGGAUUCAGUGCCGCAGCUAACGCAUUAAGCACUCCGCCUGGGGAGUACGACCGCAAGGUUGAAACUCAAAGGAAUUGACGGGGGCCCGCACAGGCGGUGGAGCAUGUGGUUUAAUUCGAAGCAACGCGAAGAACCUUACCAGGUCUUGACAUCCCGAUGCUAUUUCUAGAGAUAGAAAGUUACUUCGGUACAUCGGUGACAGGUGGUGCAUGGUUGUCGUCAGCUCGUGUCGUGAGAUGUUGGGUUAAGUCCCGCAACGAGCGCAACCCCUAUUGUUAGUUGCCAUCAUUCAGUUGGGCACUCUAGCGAGACUGCCUGUAAUAAACCGGAGGAAGGUGGGGAUGACGUCAAAUCAUCAUGCCCCUUAUGACCUGGGCUACACACGUGCUACAAUGGUUGGUACAACGAGUUGCGAGUCGGUGACGGCAAGCUAAUCUCUUAAAGCCAAUCUCAGUUCGGAUUGUAGGCUGCAACUCGCCUACAUGAAGUCGGAAUCGCUAGUAAUCGCGGAUCAGCACGCCGCGGUGAAUACGUUCCCGGGCCUUGUACACACCGCCCGUCACACCACGAGAGUUUGUAACACCCGAAGUCGGUGAGGUAACCUUUUGGAGCCAGCCGCCUAAGGUGGGAUAGAUGAUUGGGGUGAAGUCGUAACAAGGUA
RNAcentral lists this ribosomal RNA (1506 nucleotides) under metagenome. RNAcentral describes it as "bacterial SSU rRNA". It matches the Rfam family "Bacterial small subunit ribosomal RNA". The record is from RNAcentral.